AGAGUUUGAUCAUGGCUCAGGACGAACGCUGGCGGCGUGCUUAACACAUGCAAGUCACGGGGGCCCGCAAGGGCAACCGGCGAACGGGUGCGUAACACGUGAGCAAUCUGCCGAUCUCUGGGGGAUAGCCGGCCCAACGGCCGGGUAAUACCGCAUACGUUCUCGAGGGGGAGUCCUCUUGAGAAGAAACCUCCGGGGGAGAUCGAGGAGCUCGCGACCUAUCAGCUAGUUGGCGGGGUAACGGCCCACCAAGGCAGCGACGGGUAGCUGGUCUGAGAGGAUGGCCAGCCACAUUGGGACUGCGACACGGCCCAGACUCCUACGGGAGGCAGCAGUGGGGAAUAUUGCGCAAUGGACGAAAGUCUGACGCAGCGACGCCGCGUGUGGGAUGAAGCCUUUCGGGGUGUAAACCACUGUUGCCCGGGACGAAACUCUCCUUUCGAGGAGAUUGACGGUACCGGGUGAGGAAGCACCGGCUAACUCUGUGCCAGCAGCCGCGGUAAUACAGAGGGUGCGAGCGUUGUCCGGAAUCACUGGGCGUAAAGGGCGCGUAGGUGGCGGGAUAAGCGUGUGGUGAAAGCCCGGGGCUCAACCCCGUGUCUGCCAUGCGGACUGUCUUGCUCGAGCGUAGUAGAGGCAGGUGGAAUUCCGGGUGUAGCGGUGGAAUGCAGAGAUCCGGAAGAACACCGGUGGCGAAGGCGGCCUGCUGGGCUACUGCUGACACUGAGGCGCGACAGCGUGGGGAGCAAACAGGAUUAGAUACCCUAGUAGUCC
RNAcentral lists this ribosomal RNA (774 nucleotides) under uncultured bacterium. Its description in RNAcentral is "bacterial SSU rRNA". It matches the Rfam family "Bacterial small subunit ribosomal RNA", at positions 8 to 796 of the family's 1533-position model. The record is from RNAcentral.